This 1621-nucleotide long non-coding RNA is filed under the name Macaca fascicularis (crab-eating macaque). Its description in RNAcentral is "lncRNA (ENSMFAG00000047370.1)". Lineage: Eukaryota; Metazoa; Chordata; Mammalia; Primates; Cercopithecidae. The record is from RNAcentral.
UUUUUUUUUUUUUUGAGACAGGGUCUUGCUCUGUUGCCCAGGCUGGAGUGCAGUGGCAGGAUCUUGGCUCACUGCAGCCUCAACAUCCUGGGCUCAAGUGAUUGUCUUGCCUCAGCCUUUUGAGUUGUGGGGAAUACUUUUAUUUUAUUUUUAGAGAUGGGGCGUGCACCAAUACACCUUGCUAGUUUUUUUUUGGUGAAGAUAGGGUUUUACUAUGUUGCCCAGGCUGGUCUGAAACUCCUGGGCUCAAGCAAUCUGCCUGCUUUGGCAUCCCAAAGUGCUGGGAUUACAGGCCUGAGCCACCACACCUGGCCAUUGUGCAUAUUUCUUAUCUCCUGAACCAAAUGGUUAGUCCUUUAAGAGCAGGAGCACAGUCUGGAUCAUUUUGGCAGGUCCUGAGUAUGUCAACACUGGUGUGCCUUAUGUAUACAGGUAUACGAUGACAUUCCUGACACAAAUGAAUGAGUGGAGGAAAGCAUGUACAGGUAGCUGUGCUCCCCACCUAGGACUUGAUGUAUCAUUUUUCAUUUUCCUCCACGUGGAUUUUGGCCUUUCAAAGACCUCAUGCCAGUUUAAAUGAUGGCACUGGUGCCAAUGAUGGUGCUGCUACCACCCAACAAAACUUUCUGUGAUGAUGGAGAUGUUCUAUCUGUCCAGUGAGGUAGCCCCUAACCACAGGUGACUAUUGAGCAUUUGAAAUGUGGCCAGUAUGGCUGAGGAAUGGAAUUUUAACUUUUAUUUAAUUUUAAUUAAUUUAAAUCCAAGCAGCCACUGAGGUUACUGGCUGCCAUACUGGAGAGUGCGCCAUCAAAUCACAUCCUAGCCUGGCGGGCACACAGUCCCUAUGUACUAACUACUCAUUCUGCCAUGGACAGGAUGACAGGCCAGGACACUCUGGAUGCCAUCUUCAGUGUGUCUAGGCUGUGACUCUGACUUUCUGGCCCAGGACCAGGGCCUUACAGUGCAGGAGAAAGACAGAGAUGUGGAAGCUUCAUGGGGAAGCUUUAAAAAUGGAUGAGCAGCUCUCAAAUACUCUUUUCCCUAAUUUCUAAAAGUGAUCAGCCUGCUGCUUGCACUCCGAAGUGCUGAUGUAUUGGUGUGGUGCUGUGGCAGCAUGAGGCAGCACAUUGCUAGAAGGGUGGUUGGCCUUGUGUCGAGCAGCCUCCUGCUACCAAUUGGCCCUGAAUGGAUAGCUCCUUUUGGAGAGCAUAAUGAGUUUCUCAUGAGGACAUUUGUCCUGCUCUGUGGCAUCUCCUACAGCCACCACAUGUGUGUGUCCAAUUGCAGCUGGACAGCAAGAGUGCAAACAGCCCCUGUGAGCACCCCGGAUUGCUGUGGGUAGGGUGACUUCAACACACCCCAGGCCUGGCCACUUUGCUAGCUCUCCAUACACAUACAAAAGGGUAUGAUGCCAGGACAGAACUAGGAUAAUGAUGCCAAGACGGAGCAUGGCACACACUUUUAGUGCACAUAUAUGGUCACCUGGCUGCAGAGUGGCCUCCUUUCAUGAGGUUCCUAGAGCACACAUGCAGGGCCCUUUUGUUUAUAGUCAUCUCUUUCAUAGAGUUCUUGGAGAUCAUCAACUACGCUUUGGUCCACUCUGCUGCGCACUCAUAUUCUU